UGUGUGAAUGUAAUGGAAUUUAAUUGGUUUAAUGUAAAAAUUUAAAUUUUUUUUUCGGAACAAAAAACUACA
This is a non-coding RNA of Ciona intestinalis (vase tunicate), 72 nucleotides long. Lineage: Eukaryota; Metazoa; Chordata; Ascidiacea; Phlebobranchia; Cionidae. The record is from RefSeq.